RNAcentral lists this ribosomal RNA (478 nucleotides) under uncultured bacterium. RNAcentral describes it as "SSU rRNA". It matches the Rfam family "Bacterial small subunit ribosomal RNA", at positions 26 to 518 of the family's 1533-position model. The record is from RNAcentral.
AGGACGAACGCUGGCGGCGUGCUUAACACAUGCAAGUCGAGCGAGGCCCUUCCUUCGGGAAGGAGCCCUAGCGGCGAACGGGUGAGUAACACGUGGGCAACCUGCCCCUAGCACUGGGAUAACUCCGGGAAACCGGGGCUAAUACCGGAUAUGACCUUUGAGGGCAUCCUCUUUGGUGUAAAGGAUUCUGGCUAGGGAUGGGCCCGCGGCCUAUCAGCUUGUUGGUGGGGUAAAGGCCUACCAAGGCGACGACGGGUAGCCGGCCUGAGAGGGCGACCGGCCACACUGGGACUGAGACACGGCCCAGACUCCUACGGGAGGCAGCAGUGGGGAAUAUUGCACAAUGGGCGAAAGCCUGAUGCAGCGACGCCGCGUGAGGGAUGACUGCCUUCGGGUUGUAAACCUCUUUCAGCAGGGACGAAGCGAAAGUGACGGUACCUGCAGAAGAAGCACCGGCCAACUACGUGCCAGCAGCCGC